RNAcentral lists this ribosomal RNA (466 nucleotides) under uncultured bacterium. RNAcentral's name for it is "bacterial SSU rRNA". It matches the Rfam family "Bacterial small subunit ribosomal RNA", at positions 355 to 825 of the family's 1533-position model. The record is from RNAcentral.
UCGGGAAUAUUGGGCAAUGGAGGGAACUCUGACCCAGCCAUGCCGCGUGCAGGAUGAAGGCGUUAUGCGUUGUAAACUGCUUUUAUAUAGGAAGAAAUAGUCCUUGCGAGGAAAGUUGACGGUACUAUAUGAAUAAGCACCGGCUAACUCCGUGCCAGCAGCCGCGGUAAUACGGAGGGUGCAAGCGUUGUCCGGAUUUAUUGGGUUUAAAGGGUGCGUAGGCGGUUUAUUAAGUCAGUGGUGAAAGACGGUCGCUCAACGAUUGCAGUGCCAUUGAUACUGGUAGACUUGAGUAUGAUUGAGGUAGCUGGAAUGGAUAGUGUAGCGGUGAAAUGCAUAGAUAUUAUCCAGAACACCAAUUGCGUAGGCAAGUUACUAAGUCAUAACUGACGCUGAGGCACGAAAGUGUGGGUAUCAAACAGGAUUAGAUACCCCCGUAGUCCCUGAGCGGGCUGGCAAGGCGCAU